RNAcentral lists this ribosomal RNA (497 nucleotides) under uncultured bacterium. RNAcentral describes it as "partial 16S ribosomal RNA". It matches the Rfam family "Bacterial small subunit ribosomal RNA", at positions 28 to 507 of the family's 1533-position model. The record is from RNAcentral.
GAUGAACGCUGGCGGCGUGCCUAAUACAUGCAAGUCGAGCGAACGGACGAGAAGCUUGCUUCUCUGAUGUUAGCGGCGGACGGGUGAGUAACACGUGGAUAACCUACCUAUAAGACUGGGAUAACUUCGGGAAACCGGAGCUAAUACCGGAUAAUAUUUUGAACCGCAUGGUUCAAAAGUGAAAGACGGUCUUGCUGUCACUUAUAGAUGGAUCCGCGCUGCAUUAGCUAGUUGGUAAGGUAACGGCUUACCAAGGCAACGAUGCAUAGCCGACCUGAGAGGGGGAUCCGCCACAACGGAACUGAGACAAGGUCCAGACUCCUAAGGGAGGCCGCAGUAGGGAAUCUUCCGCCAUGGGCGGAAGCCUGACGGAGCAACGCCGCGGGAGUGAUGAAGGUCUUCGGAUUGUAAAAACUUGUUAUUAGGGAAGAACAUAUGUGUAAGUAACUGUGCACAUCUUGACGGUACCUAAUCAGAAAGCCACGGCUAACUACGUG